RNAcentral lists this unclassified non-coding RNA (2023 nucleotides) under Leishmania donovani. RNAcentral's name for it is "gene:LdHU3.30.3270(CDS-product:pre-mRNA_cleavage_ complex_II_Clp1_protein_putative)". Lineage: Eukaryota; Euglenozoa; Kinetoplastea; Trypanosomatida; Trypanosomatidae. The record is from RNAcentral.
UACAGCGCGCGAGCAGACUCCCUCCUCCUCGCCAAAACACACACACACAGAUACGCAAUCUGUUCCUUGCUUCUUACCCAGUGCGCCCACGUACACAACCCAAACAUCUAUAUAUGUAGUAGAUCUGGCCAUAUAUAUAUAUAUAUAUAUCUUCAUGUGUGCGUGUGUGCCUUGCCGAGAUCAAGUCCGUGAAAUACCGUGAAAGAGGCCACUUAACCGUUUCAUGAGUUGUUCAGUGUUUGUCUGUGCUGUGAAAGUUGCCUUGUGCAUUUUUCUUUUUUUGUGUGUGUGGGAGGGGGGGCUCUUUGUACGCGCGGAGGCGCUUGAACCCUUAAAGGUUCUCAUCGCUCGCGUCGCUACUCCCUCUCUCUACCGAGCCAAGGAUCUUUUUUUUUUUCGCAGCACCCGCUUUUUCUUUUGUUCAGCCAUGCAGCCGCGUAAGACGCACACCUCGCUUCAUCUCCGCCAGGAGGCCGUUACGAUACAAUGGAAUGCGGGGCAGGAAGGCGGCUCUGUUCUGCUUCUCAGUGGAAAAGUAGAGCUGUUUCGUAGUUCACUGACGCGCAACUUGCGCUACGCCUUUCCGGCGGAGGCGUGCAUUGUGCUGGAGGCCUUUGGUGACGCCGUUGUGCAGAUCGACGGAGACGCAAUCACCGUGCAGACCCCGAUAAGCGGUGCUCUCGAUGAGAUCCACGCGCUGCUAGACACUGCACGCGUGGAUGCAAUGCUGGCCAUUGACGAGCGCAGCAAGAAAUCCCUGUCCAGCUCCGAGGAGCUCAAAGACUCUUGGCAGGGCCCUCGUGUGCUUGUUGUCGGCGAGAACCAGUGGGAGAGGGAGGUGGUGUCGCGAGCACUGCUCAACCUCGCGGUUCGCCACGGUAGCCCGUACGGCAUCUGCUACGUGGACGUGGAUGUGGCGAUGCCUAUGGUGGGCUGUCCAGGUACGGUGUCGGCUGCGUUUGUGGAAGAACCGGUGACAGCUCCGGAGGACUUUUCUGUGAUGAUGCCGCUGACGUUUUUCCACGGCGCGGCCUCUGUCACGAGUGCGACGCGGAAGCGCUACUUGGAUCUGUGCGUCUGUGCGGCGCAAGCGGCCACCUCGCUCGGGUUCGCCAACUCCAAGUUUGAAGCGGGCGGCUUCUUGAUCCACUCCUUGUCCCCUUCCACCGACAUUCAGCACGACGUGCUGAGCGACGUCCUCUCCAUUUUCGCCGUCACGCACGUCGUCGUCACCGGCGCAGAUUGGGAGCUGGAAAAGUUUCUGAACAACGCUGUCGUGGGCCGCACAGUGCACUUUGUGCGGCUGCCGAAGCUGGCGGGUGGGCAGUCGCCCAGCGCCGCCGGGGCGGAGCAGCGUCGGCGCGCGCAGUUGGAGCACUACUUUUUUGGCACCCCACGUACUCCUCUGAUGCCGGUGCGCGGUGUGGCACGAAUGUCGGAGUUGGUGCUCCUCCACGCGGAGACAUUCGAGCCACUGAGCUGGAGAGAGGUGCCGGACCUGGGUCUUGCCGCGGUCGUCUGGGCCGACACGGCUGCGUCUGCCGUGGAGGCGAACGUCGCGGGGUUUGUCGCCUUGCUGGAGGUCGGAAAGCAGUUUGUCAGCUUCCUCGCUCCAUCGGGUGGCGAGCUGCCCAAGCCGUUUUUGGUGGUCUCGCCGUCCCUGCACCUACCACGGGAACUGGUGAUGCCCCUCCCGGUAACGUAGUGGGCAACCGGAUACUGAGCGCACACGCGGAAGAGUGUCCCACGCAUCUCGUGCGCCUGCGCCUGCCAGGAGCACAGACACAAGUGCCCCUAUGACAGGCGCGGCUUGUGGCCCCAGCAACAACAAACGAACAUCCCGUCAAACAGAAGAGUGCCACGCUUCAGCUCCUUUCGCUCUGCUGCGUUGCGGCUGCCCUCAGCGAUGCGGAGGACUCGGCGCCACGCACACGGCUACGGACGCGCCUUUUGAUGGGUGCCGUGCUUGAAGGAUGUGGCCAUCAAGCAUAGCAGACGAAGCGGAGAAGCGAAGCAAAAGAGG